AACGUAGGAGGCAAGCGUUAUCCGGAUUUACUGGGCGUAAAGCGCACGCAGGUGGCUGAGUCAGUCGAUUGUGAAAGCCCUGGGCUUAACCUGGGAAUUGCAGUCGAUACUACUCAGCUAGAGUAUGGGAGAGGGUAGUGGAAUUCCCGGUGUAGCGGUGAAAUGCGUAGAUAUCGGGAGGAACAUCAGUGGCGAAGGCGGCUACCUGGCCCAAUACUGACACUCAGGUGCGACAGCGUGGGGAGCAAACAGG
Molecule: ribosomal RNA, 253 nt
Filed under: uncultured bacterium
Lineage: Bacteria
Description: partial 16S ribosomal RNA
Rfam family: Bacterial small subunit ribosomal RNA
Source: RNAcentral